CGUGAGCAACCUGCCUUUAUCAGGGGGAUAACGCAUCGAAAGAUGUGCUAAUACCGCGUAAGACCACAGCUUCACAUGGAGCGGGGGUCAAAGGAGCAAUCCGGAUAAAGAUGGGCUCGCGUCCGAUUAGCUAGUUGGUGAGAUAACAGCCCACCAAGGCGACGAUCGGUAGCCGACCUGAGAGGGUGAUCGGCCACAUUGGAACUGAGAGACGGUCCAG
RNAcentral lists this ribosomal RNA (220 nucleotides) under uncultured bacterium. RNAcentral's name for it is "partial 16S ribosomal RNA". It matches the Rfam family "Bacterial small subunit ribosomal RNA", at positions 116 to 334 of the family's 1533-position model. The record is from RNAcentral.